RNAcentral lists this ribosomal RNA (1837 nucleotides) under human gut metagenome. RNAcentral's name for it is "bacterial LSU rRNA". It matches the Rfam family "Bacterial large subunit ribosomal RNA", at positions 602 to 2479 of the family's 2925-position model. The record is from RNAcentral.
UACUUUUUGUAGAACGGUCCGGCGAGUUACGUGUAUGAUGCGAGGUUAAAUACUGUGUAAGGUAUGAAGCCGAAGGGAAACCGAGUGUGAAUAGCGCGAAGAUAUAGUAUCAUGCAGUAGACCCGAAACCGGGUGACCUAUCCAUGGUCAGGUUGAAGCUUGAGUAAAAUCAAGUGGAGGACCGAACCGGUAUUCGUUGAAAAGGAUUCGGAUGACUUGUGGAUAGCGGAGAAAUUCCAAUCGAACUCGGAGAUAGCUGGUUCUCCUCGAAAUAGCUUUAGGGCUAGCCUUGUUUAGUAGCAUGUGGAGGUAAAGCACUGAAUAUGUGAGGGUUCUUACCAGAAUACCGAUCAUUAUCAAACUCUGAAUGCCAUGUGUGUAAGAACAGGAGUCAGACAGUGACAGCUAAGUGCCAUUGUCAAAAGGGAAAGAGCCCAGACCAACAGCUAAGGUCCCAAAAUUGUAGUUAAGUGGAAAAGGAUGUGGGAAUUCAUAGACAACCAGGAUGUUGGCUCAGAAGCAGCCAUUCAUUUAAAGAGUGCGUAAAAGCUCACUGGUCGAAGUAGGCCUGCGCCGAAAAUUACCGGGGCUAAACUACAUACCGAAGCUUUGGAUUUGGUACGUAAAGUAUUAAGUGGUAGAGGAGCGUUGUAUAAAGAUUGAAGCUAUACUGAAAAGAGUAGUGGACGAUAUACAAGAGAGAAUGCCGGAAUAAGUAGCGAGAGCACAGUGAGAAUCUGUGCCGCCGAAAACCUAAGGUUUCCUGGGGAAGGUUCGUCCGCCCAGGGUAAGUCGGGACCUAAGACGAGGCUAAAGCAGCGUAGUCGAUGGAAAGCAGGUAAAAGAUUCCUGCACUACCGAAAUGCGAUAUACAAUAUAUCAUGACGCAUCAGAAGAGUCUAAGCGAGCAAAUGGAAAAGUUCGUACCGCAAGGUGGAGUGAAAAAUAGUAACGAAGUAGAUAAAUCAGGUGACAAGAAAAGUGAUAUAGGAGCAUAGAGGUACUCGUACCGUAAACCGACACAGGUAGGAAGAAAGAGAAUUUUCAGGCGAACGAGAGAAUCAUUGUUAAGGAACUCGGCAAAUUAACCCCGUAACUUAGGGAUAAGGGGAGCCAAUAGCGAUAUUGGUCGCAGAGAAAUGGUCCAAGCAACUGUUUAGCAAAAACACAGGUUUCUGCCAAAUCGAAAGAUGAAGUAUAGGAGCUGACGCCUGCCCAGUGCUGGAAGGUCAAGGGGAAGAGUAAACGUUUCGAUGUGAAGCUCUGAACUUAAGCCCCAGUGAACGGCGGCCGUAACUAUAACGGUCCUAAGGUAGCGAAAUUCCUUGUCAGGUAAGUUCUGACCCGCACGAAAGGCGUAAUGAUUUGGGCACUGUCUCGACAAUGAACUCGGCGAAAUUGUAGUACUAGUGAAGAUGCUAGUUACCUGUGAUAAGACAGAAAGACCCCAUGGAGCUUUACUGUAGCUUGAUAUUGAGACUAGGUAAGAGAUGUACAGAAUAGAUGGGAGACUAUGAGAUAAGGACGCCAGUUCUUAAGGAGUCACCUUUGGGAUACCAUCCUUCUUUUACUUGGAAUCUAACUAGUUGCCAUGAACUGGUAAUAGGACAGUGUCAGGUGGGCAGUUUGACUGGGGCGGUCGCCUCCUAAAGAGUAACGGAGGCGUUCAAAGGUCAGCUUAACACGGUCAGAAAUCGUGUGAUGACGUGCAAAGGCGUAAGCUGGCUUGACUGCAAGACUGACAGGUCGAGCAGACGCGAAAGCGGGACUUAGUGACCCGAUGGUUGUGAGUGGAAAUGCCAGAGCUCAACGGAUAAAAGUUACCCUGGGGAUAACA